AACGAACGCUGGCGGCAGGCUUAACACAUGCAAGUCGAACGCAUCCUUCGGGGUGAGUGGCAGACGGGUGAGUAACGCGUGGGAACGUGCCCUUCAGUUCGGGAUAACCCAGGGAAACUUGGGCUAAUACCGGAUACGUGCGAGAGCAGAAAGAUUUAUCGCUGAAGGAUCGGCCCGCGUCUGAUUAGCUAGUUGGUGGGGUAAUGGCCCACCAAGGCGACGAUCAGUAGCUGGUCUGAGAGGAUGAUCAGCCACAUUGGGACUGAGAUACGGACCAAACUCCUACGGGAGGCAGCAGUGGGGAAUAUUGGACAAUGGGCGCAAGCCUGAUGCAGCCAUGCCGCGUGAGUGACGAAGGCCUUAGGGUUGUAAAGCUCUUUCGUCCGGGACGAUAAUGACGGUACCGGAAGAAGAGGCCCCGGCUAACUUCGUGCCAGCAGCCGCCGUAA
RNAcentral lists this ribosomal RNA (449 nucleotides) under uncultured bacterium. RNAcentral's name for it is "partial 16S ribosomal RNA". It matches the Rfam family "Bacterial small subunit ribosomal RNA", at positions 29 to 523 of the family's 1533-position model. The record is from RNAcentral.